This 253-nucleotide ribosomal RNA is filed under the name uncultured bacterium. Its description in RNAcentral is "partial 16S ribosomal RNA". It matches the Rfam family "Bacterial small subunit ribosomal RNA", at positions 524 to 776 of the family's 1533-position model. The record is from RNAcentral.
UACGAGGGGGGCAAAUGUUGUUCGGAAUCACUGGGCGUAAAGGGAGCGUAGGCGGGUUUUUAAGUCAGGUGUUUAAUCCCGGGGCCCAACCCCGGACAGGCACUUGAAACUGGGAAUCUUGAAUAGUGGAGAGGUCGGUGGAAUUGGAGGUGUAGCGGUGGAAUGCGUAGAGAUCUCCAAGAACACCCGUUGCGAAGGCGGCCGACUGGACACAUAUUGACGCUGAGGCUCGAAAGCAUGGGGAGCAAACAGG